Molecule: transfer RNA, 92 nt
Filed under: Anoxybacter fermentans
Lineage: Bacteria; Bacillati; Bacillota; Clostridia; Halanaerobiales
Description: tRNA-Leu
Rfam family: tRNA
About the family: Transfer RNA (tRNA) molecules are approximately 80 nucleotides in length. Their secondary structure includes four short double-helical elements and three loops (D, anti-codon, and T loops).
Source: RNAcentral
GCGAAGGUGGCGGAAUUGGCAGACGCGCUAGAUUCAGGUUCUAGUGGGCAAUAAAAACGCCCGUGGGGGUUCGAAUCCCUUCCUUCGCACCA